GCCGCUUCAAAAGUAAGUCCUCUUUGCCCAGGAGUGCCAAGACUUAUGAUCAUCAUCAAUUGAUUCUUAAUGUCUAAAUCUAAGAUUUUGAGCUCCUGAUCUUGGAAUUAGACAACAGUUAGCACAAUGAUGGGUUUCAGUACUACCGCAGAGUCCGUCUCAUGUUUCUUCUUCUCUGCAUGGAAGAAACUAGCAUCAUGGGAUAAAAGUAGAAAACGCAGACAAAACCAAGAUUGGGCCUUUAUGGAGGAAUUAUGCCGCCGAUUUUCGCUAGAUGAGAUCAUAGCAGCCACUGAAUGCUUCAACGACAAGUUCCAUAUUGGUAGCAGUACCAUGGGCUCAGUCUAUAAAGGGUACAUCAACGGCGGGGCAACUGUUGUUGCAGUCAAGCGAUUUACAGGCAGCAGACAAGACUUCAGGAAUGAGGUGCUGCUGUCCUGCCAGCUGCGCCACCCCAACCUUGUCCCUGUUAUUGGAUUCUGUGAAGAAAAGGAGGAACUCAUCCUUGUCUACGACUACACAUCCAAAGGUGCCCUCUCUUCUAAGCUGUUCAAAAGAGCGGAUCUUGAUCCGCUGCCCUGGAGGCAGAGGCUGAACAUAUGUAUCGGGAUAGCACGCGCAUUGCAUUAUCUCCAUGCAGGGCUAAAACAUGUUAUUGUCCACCGCGACGUGAAAUGCUCCAUCAUACUAUUGGAUGAAAGGUUCGAAGCAAGGGUUUCAAACUUACUAACGUUCAAGAUGGGUCCUCCUAGUUUGUCAAAUAAAUUCAUACGAGUGACCUCUGGUAGGAUCGUGGGCACUUUCGGGUAUAUUGAUCCCGAGUAUAUCCAUUUGGAACAAUUUACAGAAAAAUCUGAUGUCUACUCGUUUGGAAUGGUGCUGCUGGAAGUGUUGACUGCCAAAUGGGCAAAAGAGUUUCAUACAUACACAGGCAGGCCGGACACCUUAUGCGAUAUAAUGGACCCUUCUUUGAGGGGUAAAAUAGCUCCUGAUUGUUUGCAAAAAUUUAUGGAUAUCGUUUACAGAUGUACAAGUCCUACAGGAGCAGAGCGGCCCUCAGUGGGCGAAGUGCAAGUGGAACUGGAGUGCGCAUUGGAGCUGCAAGACAGCGCAGAUACCAAGAAGGACGCUUGUGUUGGUCAUGCAGGUGACUAUAGCUACCAAGGGAUGUCAAUUUGUGAAAUUGAAGAUAUUUUCUCAUUUUUGUUUAGGCAGCCGUCAACUUCGGAUGUGUCAACUCUUGAUUUGAAUAGCAUCGAUUUUUCUGCUUCUGAUGAUGGUUGAUUCAAAUCAAACAGGGCAACACUAAUGUAGACAUUUUUAUGUAUACCAUGCCCUUAAAUCCAUUUGUUUUAACAAUAAGCUCGUAUUUACAUACGUUUGGAACAAUAGCGAAGAUUUGGUAAAUUUUGUUUCUUUUUCUUCCAACUUAGGUGCUUCAAAUUGUCUGACCAAAAACAAAGAGAAUUGAGUGUUACAGGAGCACUAUAUCUACAAGCAGGGCUUGACAAUUCAUACAGCUAUCAAUCAACCGAGAGCAAAAGACCGUUUGCUUGACUCCUGUUGUAAACUGAAAUUGAAGGGAAAGAAAUUACCUGGAAAAUGUAGAAGCCUUGAGUGGAGAAUGAUUCUUGGGAUGAGUCGCGGACUAAGUCGUUCUCUCUAAGACGUUUCGCAGCUCUGCCCAAAGUGUGGAAGCAGUUCACAAACACCACGUCGUCCCUAAGAUAAAACAGCCCAAAAUCAUCUUCUUCUAAUAAGGUUCUUCCUUGCACACUGGAAGAACUUUCGAACUUCACACCCUUUUCAAAAUGUUGCUUUCAGAACUCAAUUUUUGUUUUGAAAAUUAUAUAAACUAUUGUUUUCUUUUUCCUGCAUCUCCUUGUACAGGAGAUCAAUAUAUAUAUAUAUAUAUAUAACCGCAAGGAAUUACAGCAAAAGAAAUCAAUACGUACAAUCAACAACGGAACGAAAUUAAGUACAUGGACUUGAUCUUUAUCUUUAUAGAAGGAAUUCUAUCUUUAAGAUGAGAAGCUUUCUCACGUUUCUUUUUGUGGAAAUAAAUCAAUUGUCAAAUCAUAGGUUAAUAAUAAACUUAUAAAGUUAAUUACUACUUACGUUUUAUAUUUAAAAUUUGUAAUAAAUCAAAAUAUAAAUAUAUUUAAAAUAUUUAAAUAAAAACAUAUUUAUUCCAACAACUCCUUGAGUCUUUGAGUCCUGACACUGUCCUUUUUAUGGUUGCAUAAAUGCUUUAUAUCAUCCAAUUAUAAAUUUUUUGGGGUCUGAACUUUAGAUCAUUGCAUUGCACCUAACAUCUCCAUAUAAAACUAUAUAUCACCAGAUCAAUUCUAACUAGAUUUAGCCACCAUCAAACCCUAGCCAUCAAGGAUACAAAAAAGAAAAGAAAUCAGCUAUUACAUCCAGUGACCAAAUAUUAAAAAAAUAUGUUAAUUGAUCAAAUCCGAAAUGGCUACAGGGAUUGAAGAAAGGAAGGUACCCUACACAACAUGCCAAUUAUCAUGCGGGUCUUUUAGGUUGGGGUCCAACAACAUAGUUGUUUUUUAGACUAGGUUCAGUUAUUCAAUUCCUUUUCUUAUACCAAUUUUGUCAUUUCAGAUAAAAAAUAUAAAUUUAUAUCAAGCUUACUCUUAUCAUAUCUACUUCAGAUUUCGUUUGCGCACAGGCUAUUACCUUAAUUAGUGUUGGAUUAGCAAAUUACACUUAUCGCAGUGACGGAAAGAAAUAAUGUAUAUGCACUUCGGUGCAUGUUUGAUCCUCACCAAUCCCUUGCCCCUAUAAUUAACAAUUUAACCUACUAACGUUAUCGUUUGUUAUAAAAAUAAAAAAUAAAAAAUAAAAAAAUUAGUGUAUGCAUUAAAUUAUAAAAUAAAAGGAUUUAAAAAAGUUAUAAACAUAUGGAGUUUGAGGGAUUUUUAAUGGAUUUCCAUGGACCUCCUGUGAAUUUUGAGCAAAAUUCCUCCAAAAUCUCACUGGAAGAAGCAUAAUUUUGUAGACUAAAUCAGACUAUAUAUGAAAUUCAUCAAAAUCAUUCACUUUUAAAAUCUUUUAAAAUCUCAAUUGAAUACAUUCCUUUAUAGGUUGAGAAGGCCAGGUGUGAGUGCAGGCGUUUUAAGGAUUUUUCUUUUUUCAAGUAUAAGGGUUAGGUUUGACAGCGGUGGUGUGUGUGUUUCUUCUUUGCUUUUUGCCAUUUUGGUAAUUUCUUGUAUUUCCAAUUUUUUAUUCGUUAAUUAAAUUAUUUUACCUUUUUUCCACAAAUACAUUUUCACAUACCAGGUAUAUGCAUACAUAGGCUAUAGCAAAGGUAUUUUAAGACGGACUUAACCUGGCGAUAUUAUUUUGUAAUUCCUGUUAACCGCUAAUUUGUUUAAAAGAAAAAAAAAAUGAACUCGAAUAUAGUCAAUUGGAAGAAUUGGUGAAAAUAAUAUUUUAGUUAAAGUGAAAAGAUUUCACAUACUAGGUUUAUGCACGGUCAUUGACGUUGUUUUCAAUUUACUUGUGCGCCGCACAAAUUAUCUUUAUUUUUUUGGACAAAUAUCUUUUCUUUUGUUAAAAAAGUAAAUUCUAGUCAAAAAAUGCAAAUGAACAUUCCUAAAAUAUAUGAAGCUUUAAGGUGGGAAAAUUAAUACUAUAUAUUUCUUAUAUAAGAGUAUUAAUUAUAUUUAAAGUUAUAGACUACCAUCAUAAACUUGUAAAUUUCUAUGGAGGUGUAGAAUUCAUGCUUCUUCUUCAUUUUUUUUUUAUAAGAAAUCAAGUGAUUUUUCUAAACUUCAUUGUAUUUUAUAAAUUUCGACAAGUGUUUGAGAUACAUUUGCAGAUAAACAAACGAAAAAUAGACUUGGGAACACGGAUUUUUUUUUUUCAUUUAUCAUGUGAUUACAUACAAGUGUAAAAAAAAUACCCAUGAAGUUGAAUUUCUUUCCUGAAUUCUCAAGAUUGAGAUAAAGACAUAGGAAAAUUCUAAAAAUUAGAGAUAAUUAAACAAGCUAGGAACUAGUUAGUAGCAGUGAGGUCCUCUCUAUAGCCUGAUUUGCACGGUCUAGACUAGUUAGUAUCAAUGAGGUUCUUAAUAAGGGUAGUAUUGCAAGAGAUAAAACUUAGCUAGAACUUUCUGUUAUUCUAGUUAGUUAAGUAGUUCUUUGAUAAAUGUAUAUAUAAGCAUCAAGUGUAAUCUUAUUGAUUGAGUGAAAUACAAUCACAUUUAUAUUUUUUACUUCUCUCUCUACAUUUCUAUCUUCCACAGAAUCUCUCUCUCUAGACUUUAUCAUGGUUUCAUUGCCAUUUGUCUACCGACUCUCCCGAUCCUAAUCGCUUCUGCACCGCCUCUUCUCACCGCCUCUUUGCACAAACCCUAACCGCCAUUGUUUCUCCAUGGCAGACUCUUCAUCUCCUUCCCCUGACAUUGUUUCUCUGAUCAAUUCCUCUGUUGUUUCCACACCCUCAUCCAUUACGAUUCAGAACAUUGGUUUUAUGGUGCCAAUUAAACUCACCACUACUAAUUACCUUACCUGGAGCGCUCUCUUUGCUCUGAUCUUCCAGUAGUACAAUCUCACCGGCAUAAUUGAUGGAUCUCCGGUGGCUUCGCCUAAAUAUCUGUGUGAUUCUUCUGGAAAUCGUACCUCAACUCUGAAUCCGGCGUUCUUCACUUGGUAUGAAAAUGAUCAGAAUAUCCUGAUUUGGAUAAAUUCAACUCUCUCCAACUCUUUGAUUCCUUAUAUUGUUGGUGUGGCUUUGUCUCGUGAACUCUGGGCUAAACUCGAAUCAAGACUCGCGACGGCGUCACAUUCUCACAUCCAUGAACUCCGAUCUCGGCUUCGUGCUAUAACCAAAGGUGAUGCUUCUGCAACUUCGUAUCUUCAGCAAAUCGAAGAAAUUGUUGAUGCUUUAGCCAGCGCUGGAGCUCCGAUUGAUGAUUCUGAGUUGAUCUCUGUGAUUCUUCACGGACUGCCUUCUGAGUUUGAUUCCUUGGUUGAUGCGAUUCAGUUUCGUAUUAGAUCCAUAACUAUUGAUGAGCUUCAUGGACUUUUACUGAGCAAAGAAAUCCAGAUUGAAAAUCGCAAGAAAUCCACCUCUGCACUGAUUCAGGCAUUCCACACUUCCACUGGAAUUCUGCCUUUACCUUCUGAACCGCAAAUGUCUCAGGCCUACGUUGCUCAACAUUUCUCUAACUUUACCCCUCAUUCAGGUCGUGGUUCUGAUCACAACUUCUCAAACCCUAGAAACUCUUAAAAUCGAGGAAAUUUCAAAAACAACAAUCAGCGAACCGGUUUCAAUCGCUCCAAUAAUCAAAAGUAUAAUCACAAUCGUAGUUCUCGAUUCAACAAUUCAAGCUAUGCUAAUUAUGGGAGAAGAAUCAUUUGUCAAAUCUGCAAGCAAUUUGAUCAUGAAGCUAUUGAAUGCCCUGAGCGGCUGAAUCCUACCUUUGGCACCUUCUCUCCAUCUGCAUUAUGUGCUAAUACCUCUACUCCUCAGCACUCAUGGUUGCUUGAUUCUGGUGCAUCCUCACACAUGACUAACUCCUAUGCGAAGCUGCAAAAUCCAAAAUCUUACACUGGACCUGAGCAAGUAUACAUUGGAGAUGGCAAAGGUUUGCCAAUACUUCAUCUUAGUUCCUCUAAUGUAUUUAUCUUCUCAUUGCUUUAAUCUUAAGAAUGUUUUACAUGUUCCUGAUCUCAAGCAAGAUUUGUUAUCUGCAAACAAAUUCAUUCUUGAUAACAACUGCUCAAUACAUCUAUAUCCUUUUCACUUUACUGUGAAUGAUCUUUCUACGGAGAAGGUGCUUUUUAAAGGACCUGUGCAAGAAGGCUUUUAUCCGUUUCAAACUUCCAUUGCUGCCAAUCAACAUGUGUUUGCAGCUUCAUCCAAAACACCUCAGGAUAUAUGGCAUCAAAGGCUUGGUCAUCCCUAUUCUAGAAUACUAAAUAAAGUUGCAUUUCACUGUGGUAUUUCUUUUUCUACUGGUAUAAAUAAAUCUCUGUGUUCCAACUAUGCAAUGGGCAAAUGUUCAAAAUUGCCAUUCAGUUUUGUUUCUUAUUCUACAAGUAGACCUCUAGAGCUUAUACACACAGACAUAUGGGGACCUUCACCAACUGUAUCUGUACAUGGCUUUCGAUAUUACAUCAUCUUUGUUGAUGAUUAUACAAAGUAUUGUUGGUUCAUUCCACUUACAUAUAAAUCUGAAGCUUUCUAGGUCUUUACUCAUUUCAAGUCUAUGGUUAAGAACUUGUUGUGCACUAAAAUUGUUACUCUGAGAUUAGAUUCUGGUGGAGAGUUUCUAAGUAUUCAGUUUUCCAAGUUCUUAAGGGAUAUUGGCAUUAUUCACCAACUUAGUCGUCCCUAUACUCCAGAACAAAACAGUUGUGCUGAAAGAAAGCAUCGCCACCUGGUUGAAACAACACGAACUCUUCUUGCCUCUAAAGUUCCUCAUGAAUUUUGGGUUGAUGCUUUUGCCGCAUCUAUAUAUCUCAUCAAUAGACUUCCUACUGCACAACAUUGUUCUCCAUGAGAAUCUUUUUUUCACAAACUACCAGAGUAUACCACUCUUAAGAUAUUUAGUUGCAAAUGUUUUCCUUGGCUCAAACCCUAUAUCAGUUCCAAACUUGAACCCAAAAGUCAACCUUGUGUCUUCUUGGGCUAUAGUUUACAACACAAAGGGUAUAAAUGCAUGGAUCUUGUCACUCGAAAGGUCUAUAUUUCCAGGCAUGUCAUUUUUUAUGAAACUCAGUUUCCAUUUCAUCACAUCUCAAGCUCUUCAACUCUGCCUAUGUCUCAACCUUCUCUUUUCAAUCCUAUACCUACAUCAUUAACCUUCUCCACAACCCCUGCAGUAUCUACCAUACCUUCUUCAUCCAACCCUCCCACUCAUCAACACUCUAUCAGUCCAAAUUCAUCCAACCAACCAACCAAUAUUCACCUUAUGCAAACCCGGUCAAAAUCUAGAAUUGUAAAGCCUAAAGCUUAUACUGCAACUAAACAUCCAUUUCCAUCUCACAUAUCUCAAGACUAUCUUCCAUCUACCUAUUUUCAAGCCUCUAAAUAUCCGCACUGGAGACAAGCCAUGCAUGAAGAAUACAAUGCAUUGUGUAGGACUGAUACUUGGUCUCUCGUACCACCACAUCCUUCUCAAAAUCUAGUAGGUUGCAAAUGGGUUUUCAGAAUCAAUAGGAAACCAAAUGGGACAAUUCACAGGUACAAAGCCCGGUUAGUUGCAAAAGGGUUUCACUAGUAACAUGGCCUCGACUACAUUGAGACAUUUAGUCUCGUGGCUAAACCUGUCACCAUCAGAUUGCUUCUUACACUGUCAUCUUAAUUCAAUUGGUUUCUCCAUCAAUUGGAUGUAAGUAAUGCCUUUUUACAUGGCAACCUAUCAGAAUUUGUAUUCAUGAUUCAACCUCCGGGUUUUGAAGUCUUUACUCAACCUCAUCAUGUUUGUCAACUGCAUAAGUCCUUGUAUGGUCUUAAACAAGCCCAUCGGGCAUGGUAUGACAAGUUAUACACUGCUCUGUCUUCUCUAAGAUUCACUGGUUCCAAAAAUGACCAUUCACUUUUUGUUAAAAAAGGUCCAGCUUUAGUCUUCAUUCUAGUAUAUGUUGAUGAUAUACUAGUGACUGGUCCACAUCCUCAAGCCUGCAAGGAUAUUAUCUCUCAACUCAACAAUCUGUUUCCUAUUAAAGAUUUGGGGCAUCUUCAUUAUUUUCUGGGCAUUGAAGUCAAACGUUCAUCUUCAGGGAUUUUUAUUUCUCCGACGAAGUACAUCCUUGACUUGGUGCUAAGCCAUGUGCAACUCCACUUAGCACUUCGUCUUUGGAUCAUGAAUCUCCAUUGUUGUAAAAUCCUACUGAGUAUAGGUCAUUGGUUGGUGGGUUACAAUAUCUUACUUGGUCUCGACCGAAUCUCUCUUUUGCAGUAAACUUAGUCUGUCAAUUUAUGCAUCAACCUCGAGAAUCUCAUCUUCAAGCAGUGAAAUGAAUUUUGAGAUAUCUCAAAGGCACUCUGGAGCUUGGUCUCUGGUUUCCCAAAAUCUUCACUUCUCUCAGUAUCAAUGCCUUCUCCGAUGCAGAUUGGGCAGGUUGUCACAUAGAUAGGAGAUCCACAAGUGGCUUUUGUAUAUUUUUGGGCAGUUCACUCAUCAGUUGGAGUGCCAAGAAACAACCUACAGUAGCAUGAUCUUCUAUUGAAGCUGAAUACCGAUCUUUGGCAAACACUGCAGCUGACAUUACAUGGAUCUGCAAGCUCUUGGUUGAUGUUGGUCUACAACUUCCAUGUCUUCCUCAAAUCUGGUGUGACAACAUCUCCGCUAUAUCCUUAGCCAAGAAUCCUAUUUUUCAUGCCCGAAUAAAGCAUGUGGCAAUUGACUACCACUACAUUCAUGAAAAAGUUCUUUCCAAAGUUGUUUAUGUCCAUUUUAUUAAUACUCAAGCUUAGAUUGCUGAUAUCUACACUAAGUCUUUUUCAAAGACUCAAUUCCAUCUUCUUCUAGACAAACUUUCACUUCACACACCUCAGUUUAGUUUGAGGGGGGAUAAUAAGGGUAGUAUUGCAAGAGAUAAAACUUAGCUAGAACUUUCUGUUAUUCUAGUUAGUUAAGUAGUUCUUUCAUAAAUGUAUAUAUAAGCAUCAAGCUUAUUGAUUAUGUUUGUACCAUACUUGACCAAUCCCGAAACUGCUGAGCACCGGUCAACGUUAUACCGUCAAGGACCCAGAAAAGUUUCACUCCAAUCAGGAGGCCAAUCACAGCGCGACACGUGUCGACAACAGAAGCCAAUCAUAGCGCGACACAUGUCAACAUCAGAAGCCAAUCACAACACAACACGUGUCAAUGUCAAAACAAAGCUAGAAACUCUCUUCUAUAAAAGGAGAUCAUUCUCCCACAAUAUUUCCUAAUGUCAUUUGUACUAAAUCAUUCACUAAUACUCACUAAAGGAGAGCUUAAACCUAUGUACUUGUGUAAACCCUUCAUAAUUAAUGAGAACUCCUCUACUCCGUGGACAUAGCCAAUCUGGAUGAACCACGUACAUCUUGUGUUUACUUCCCUGUCCCUAUCCAUUUACAUACUUAUCCACACUGAGCAAUCUAGCGAAGGUCACAAACUUAACAUUUUCUGUUGUACCAAAGUCUUCACUGAUUUUGUGCAUCAACAGAUUGAGUGAAAUACAAUCACAUUUAUAUUUUUUACUUCUCUCUCUACAUUUCUAUCUUCCACAGAAUCUCUCUCUCUCUAGACUUUAUCAGUUCUCUCUAUAGCCUAAUUUGCCCGGUCUUCCCCUCCAGCCAUAGACUCCGGACCUUCUUCCUCAUCUAGGGUUGGCAAGCCAUGAACCAUCUGGUAUAUGCUACGCUCCCUGGCUCAACCCACGCGACGAGUUUAUACAGUCUAUCAGUACAUGAUAUUGUACUGUGACUGGGCUUGUCGUCGUCGAUGCCCUCGGCAUGGGAAGAUAUGGAUACCAAGAAAGCUUGAUAUCCUAACUGCAACUUCAAGCCAAAAUGUAGACACUCGAAAGAAUUAGAAAACAUGUUCCAGAUUAUUUAUUUGCAGUAAAAUUAAUCAACAAAAUCCCAUUAGAGAAAAAAAAUUGGAAACAAGACCAAGUCCCUUUCAGUAGGUAAUUGUUGGGAAGAUUCAUAGCUAAAUUAUAUAUAUCGAGUUUAUAUCCGCUUGUGUCUGUCUGUACAGCAGGAAGAUGUUGGGAAGGUGGCGAAUGGUCCAAUCUGGCGUGCGUGACUGGAAAUAUUUUGACUGGGGCUAUUAUAUCAUCAUAUAAUAUAAACCCUUCGAUUAUUUUCCAAUUUAGAGUAAAUUAAUAUUUGAGGGCAACGCGUGAGGUUAUGUGUGUGCGUAUACAUAUAUAUGUAUAUAUAUUAUUCUCUUUCUCUCAAAGAUCAUAUCUAAAAAAAAUUACUAAAAUUUGAAAUCAUAUGAACAUUGGAUUCAAUGGUAGUAAUUUUAAGUGUUUCUUUAUAGUAAAAAAAUGGACGAAUACGGUUUUUCAUAUCCUCACAUGCCCCCUCAUGUGUGGUAAAUUUUCAAGCCAAAUACGAGAACAUCACAAAUUGGAUGACGUGCUAGUAUGUGUGGCCGUUGGGCUUCAAACGUGGCCAACUUGUUUUGAUAUUAUGAAGAAGUUGAGGUUCUACUAUAAAACCAAUUGACAAUAUGGUGAGUAGCCCAACCUCUUACAGACCCUUGCAAAAUUUCUGCUUUCACCGAUGUGGAACUCUUUUACCUUUCACACCCUUGAGUAUACCAUAAACAGUUCAGUUGAUUGACUUAGUCUUGCUAUUUAGGAAGGCAUCAAGACGCGGUGUAAACGAAUUAAGAUCCAUUUUACAUUUUCUGUUUUGUAGACUCUGGGAUUUAGUAGUAGUACUGCACUGUCAGUUAUGUCACGUUUCUUCAAUAAUUUGUGGAAGAAAGGUGCACUAUAUUCGUCUGAUCAUAGAAGAAAACCUACAGAUACAGAUAGAGAUGACGCCAAAUGGGCGUUUCCAGAAGAAUUGUGUCGUCGGUUUUCACUCGCGGAGAUCAUAGCAGCAACUCAAAACUUCAAUGCUAGGUUACGGGUUGGCAAUACCAGAAACUUGUCAUUUGACGUUAAUGGCCUAAUAGAAAAGUUUUUGGUGUUUGAUCACCCUGAAGGUCCGAAAACAGAAGACGGUAUUAAUGUUAAUGCUGCAGGUGUCUACAAAGGAUACACCAACUUCAACGGGGUAACUUCCACGGUAGCAAUCAAGCACGUGCCCGGCGCACAAUCAGAUAUUCAGCGGGGACGCGAGUUCAAGGCGGAGGUGCAGCUACUGUGCCAGCUGCGCCACCCUAAUUUAAUCUCUCUAAUCGGAUUCUGCCAAGAAAAGGGAGAGUGCGCCAUUGUUUACAACUACAUGUCCAAUGGUUCCCUUUCUAAUUCCCUUUUCAAUCCUCAUAAAAAUAAUAAGGAUCCGUUGUCUUGGAGGCAAAGGCUGAAUAUCUGCAUUGGGGUGGCGCGUGCAAUACACUAUCUCCACACAGGGGUUAAGCAUGCGGUAAUCCACCGAGACAUUAAAUGUGACAACAUACUCUUGGACCAAAGCUUAGAGGCCAAGCUUUCUAACUUCUGGCUGUCCAAGAUGGGUCCUCCUGUUGUGCCUUGGCCGUUCGUCAGUGCGGAAGUGAGAUUCAGAUUGUCUUACCAAACUACAAACCCACAGUUGAACAGUUUAAAUUACAAGAAAUAAAUACACUGAGAAAUUUACGAUGUUCGGCAAAAAUCUGCCUACGUCCUCCAAGAGAUAUUGCUCUUCACUAUGAGAAUAACUAGUACAAGAUACACUUGAGUUAAAUCAACAUAACCCAAACCCCAAUCCUUUGUACCCUCACAGAAUUUUACUAAGAGCCUCACUCUCCCCAAGAGUUUCUCACUCUCACUCUAUAUUUUCUCUCCUUUGUGUUCUCCUUCAGAUGCUCUCUCAAUGCAUUUCUAAAUGCACAAAUAUUGCAUCUAGUUAUAGGCAUACACUAGCAACUAUGCCAACAAACAAAACCAAAAAGUCUUAAAUUCACAUGACAUAAUUAUCACCUAGCAUACCUAGCAUGCAUCAAAGUCUAUACCUAGUCUAUAAAGUACAACUUUUCUCCAUUUGUCAUUUAAUAUAUAUAAAAUAAAACAUGCACAAUAAAACAUGCACAAUUGCGUGCAAGCAACUAGAAAGUCAAGUCUUGCUUCCAACUUUGCUUGUGGUAGUCACCAUGUCUCCUCUUGAAACAAGACAUCCAUGCCACAACCGAAAACCAAACACAAAAUGGCUACUGUUAUUUCCCUGUAGCACUCAGAAAGUUACACUAUCAAAAUUGUUGCUAACUCAUAAGUAUAUGAGCCAAACACAACACCUCCUACUUUGUCAAAUGCAUUAAUCAGAUUGAACUCGGCUUCCGGAGUGGCAGGUACAUUCGGGUAUCUUGAUCCAGAGUAUGAUUUGUCUGGCCAGCUUACGGAAAAAUCUGAUGUCUACUCGUUUGGAAUGGUGUUAUUCGAAGUGUUGUCUGCCAAAUAUUCAAGAGCGAUACCACGAAUACAUAUGGCUCGCCCAGCUCAUAUUCUAGACCCAUUUCUCAUGGGAAAAAUAGCUCCCGAUUGUUUGAUAAAAUUUUUGGACAUCGUCCAAAGAUGCGUCCGCCCUACAGGAGCCCAACGGCCCACGAUGGGUGAAGUGGAGGUGGAACUUGAGCUUGCACUGGAGCUGCAGGAGAGAGCAGAUGCCGGAAAGGAGUUGAGGACAACUAGCACUCCUCUUGAUCAGCCUGCAGACUGUGCCUACGGUUAUGAAGGGAUAUCAGUUUCCGAAUUGAAUGAGACUUUCUCCUCUCUAUACAUGAGUAGACAGAGUCCAGUAGUUAGCCCAACCAGGUCUGCUGAUUUUUCAGUAGUUAGCCCAACCAGGUCUGCUGAUUUUUCAGUACUUUCUGAUGACGACGGUAGCUCUGAAUUCGAAUUUUCUGGCCGGUAAACAAUUAAAGAAUAUGCAGAAAAAUGCGAUGCUGUUGGAAAAAAAAAAAAAAAACCAUCGAAUGUAUAUUAGUCUUGUGUUUCUUGUAUUAGUUUAAUUGAAUUUCGCAUUGAAAUUGGGGUGUGGCUUCCUAGCUAGCUACCAGUCGUUGGGUAGGUUUGAAUGUUGAGUUUUAGGUUUGAUAUGAAUUUUUCAAGCUCUUCAAAUACAAUAUUCAGCGCAUCUGUCUGCUUUGAUAGUGCCAUUUACGAUGUGUCUGUUUUGUGACUUCUGCGUUGCUGGCAUCCCAAUCCAACUCGAAGUUUGGCCAAUUUCGAAGAAAUUACUUGGUUCUGAUUUUUCUCACAUUUCUUUCCAUGUCCCCAUUACGAAUUCACCCCGUAUGUACGCGUGAAUCUCUUCUGAGUUGGAAAAGUAUGUUGAGUUGACUAUGGGGAUGCCACUUCAAAAGUAAGUCCUCUUUGCCCAGGAGUGCCAAGACUUAUGAUCAUCAUCAAUUGAUUCUUAAUGUCUAAAUCUAAGAUUUUGAGCUCCUGAUCUUGGAAUUAGACAACAGUUAGCACAAUGAUGGGUUUCAGUACUACUGCAGAGUCCGCCUCAUGUUUCUUCUUCUCUGCAUGGAAGAAACUAGCAUCAUGUGAUAAAAGUAGGAAACGCAGACAAAACCAAGACUGGGCCUUUAUGGAGGAAUUAUCCCGCCGAUUUUCGCUAGCUGAGAUCAUAGCAGCCACUGAAUGCUUCAACGACAAGUUCCAUAUUGGUAGCAGUGCCAUGAGCACAGUCUAUAAAGGGUACAUCGACGGCGGGGCAACUGUUGUUGCAAUCAAGCGAUUUACAGGCAGUAGACAAGACUUCAGGAAUGAGGUGCUGCUGUCCUGCCAGCUGCGCCACCCCAACCUUCUCCCUGUUAUUGGAUUCUGUGAAGAAAAGGAGGAACUCAUCCUUGUCUACGACUACAUGGCCAAAGGUGCCCUCUCUUCUAAGCUGUUCAAAAGAGCGGAUCUUGAUCCGCUGCCCUGGAGGCAAAGGCUGAACAUAUGUAUCGGGAUAGCACGCGCAUUGCAUUAUCUCCAUGCAGGGCUAAAACUUGCUAUUGUCCACCGCGACGUGAAAUGCUCCAUCAUACUAUUGGAUGAAAGGUUCGAAGCAAAGGUUUCAAACUUACUAACGUCCAAGAUGGGUCCUCCUAGUUUGUCAAAUAAAUUCAUACGAGUGACCUCUGACAGGAUCGUGGGCACUUUCGGGUAUAUUGAUCCCGAGUAUUUCCAUUUGGAACAAUUUACAGAAAAAUCUGAUGUCUACUCAUUUGGAAUGG
Molecule: long non-coding RNA, 13816 nt
Filed under: Malus domestica (apple)
Lineage: Eukaryota; Viridiplantae; Streptophyta; Magnoliopsida; Rosales; Rosaceae
Description: long non-coding RNA (MDOM_LNC004179)
Source: RNAcentral